AGAGUUUGAUCAUGGCUCAGAACGUACGCUGGCGGCACGCCUAACACAUGCAAGUCGAACGAAGUAGCAAUACUUAGUGGCAGACGGGUGAGUAACAUGUAGGUAUCUGCCCUUUGGCCUGGAAUAACACGAGGAAACUUGUGCUAAUACCGGAUAAGUCUUUACGGAGAAAGCUUUAUGCACCAUUGGAUGAGCCUGCACUUGAUUAGUUUGUUGGUGGGGUAAUGGCCUACCAAGACUGUGAUCAAUAGCUGAUUUGAGAGGAUGAUCAGCCACAUUGGGACUGAGACACGGCCCAAACUCCUACGGGAGGCAGCAGUGGGGAAUCUUGCACAAUGGAGGAAACUCUGAUGCAGCGAUGCCGCGUGAGUGAAGAAGGCCCUUGGGUUGUAAAGCUCUUUCGUCGGGGAAGAAAAUGACUGUACCCGAAUAAGAAGGUCCGGCUAACUUCGUGCCAGCAGCCGCGGUAAUACGAAGGGACCUAGCGUAGUUCGGAAUUACUGGGCUUAAAGAGUUCGUAGGUGGUUGAAAAAGUUAGUGGUGAAAUCCCAGAGCUUAACUCUGGAACUGCCAUUAAAACUUUUCAGCUAGAGUAUGAUAGAGGAAAGCAGAAUUUCUAGUGUAGAGGUGAAAUUCGUAGAUAUUAGAAAGAAUACCAAUUGCGAAGGCAGCUUUCUGGAUCAUUACUGACACUGAGGAACGAAAGCAUGGGUAGCGAAGAGGAUUAGAUACCCUCGUAGUCCAUGCCGUAAACGAUGUGUGUUAGACGUUGGAAAUUUAUUUUCAGUGUCGCAGGGAAACCGAUAAACACACCGCCUGGGGAGUACGACCGCAAGGUUAAAACUCAAAUGAAUUGACGGGGACCCGCACAAGUAGUGGAGCAUGUGGUUUAAUUCGAAGAUACGCGCAGAACCUUACCAACACUUGACAUGUUCGUCGCGACUCUAAGAGAUUAGAGUUUUCGGUUCGGCCGGACGAAACACAGGUGCUGCAUGGCUGUCGUCAGCUCGUGUCGUGAGAUGUUGGGUUAAGUCCCGCAACGAGCGCAACCCUCACUUUUAGUUGCCAUCAUUAAGUUGGGCACUCUGAAAGAACUGCCAGUGAUAAGCUGGAGGAAGGUGGGGAUGACGUCAAGUCCUCAUGGCCCUUACGUGUUGGGCUACACACGUGCUACAAUGGUAUCUACAACAGGAAGCAAA
Molecule: ribosomal RNA, 1199 nt
Filed under: marine metagenome
Description: bacterial SSU rRNA
Rfam family: Bacterial small subunit ribosomal RNA
Source: RNAcentral